AUUCUUUCUGUAUUGGAAGGCAGUGGGGAGAGGCUCUACGGACUAGAGCUGGAGCCUAGGGGAAGAGCCAAGCGGGGGCUGAGUUGUUUGAUCCUGAAAAGAAAAGAAGAAAGAAUUUAUCCAGAAAGCGUGCCUAGGGCUUAUGAGGAGGCAAAGUGGUGAAUGAAGCCUCCCCUGAGAAACAAGUCCAACUGGCAGAGGCUUCCCAGCAUGGAGAUAUCUGGAAAAAAGGCCAGCUACCUGAGGAAGUCCAACUACCCUGAGACCACCAUGCUAUGAGGGUGCCCAAACCUGCCAGGUAGAGAGACCACAUGGAGAAGCACUGAGGUACCAGACAUGUGAGAAAAGAUGUCUUGGACCUUCCUUGCUUCCUUGGACCCAGCCCCAGCACCAACUGAACAUAGGGACAGCCAACAACCCAUGGAACAGAUUUGAACUAGUCAACUCCUGGAAACUUAAGAAACAAUAAAUUGUUGUUAUUUUAAGCCACUAA
Non-coding RNA from Macaca mulatta (Rhesus monkey), 493 nucleotides. The record is from RefSeq and is a predicted model, not a curated record. NCBI's taxonomy places the organism in Eukaryota, Metazoa, Chordata, Mammalia, Primates, Cercopithecidae.